ACUGCAUGGUCCGGUGUGAAAAACUCCGGUGGUAUAAGAUGGACCCGCGUUGGAUUAGCUGGUUGGUGGGGUAACGGCCCACCAAGGCGACGAUCCAUAGCCGGCCUGAGAGGGUGAACGGCCACAUUGGGACUGGGACACGGCCCAGACUCCUACGGGAGGCAGCAGUGGGGAAUAUUGCACAAUGGGGGAAACCCUGAUGCAGCGACGCCGCGUGAAGGAAGAAGUAUCUCGGUAUGUAAACUUCUAUCAGCAGGGAAGAUAGUGACGGUACCUGACUAAGAAGCCCCGGCUAACUACGUGCCAGCAGCCGCGGUAAUACGUAGGGGGCAAGCGUUAUCCGGAUUUACUGGGUGUAAAGGGAGCGUAGACGGUGUGGCAAGUCUGAUGUGAAAGGCAUGGGCUCAACCUGUGGACUGCAUUGGAAACUGUCAUACUUGAGUGCCGGAGGGGUAAGCGGAAUUCCUAGUGUAGCGGUGAAAUGCGUAGAUAUUAGGAGGAACACCAGUGGCGAAGGCGGCUUACUGGACGGUAACUGACGUUGAGGCUCGAAAGCGUGGGGAGCAAACAGGAUUAGAUACCCUGGUAGUCCACGCCGUA
Molecule: ribosomal RNA, 600 nt
Filed under: uncultured bacterium
Lineage: Bacteria
Description: bacterial SSU rRNA
Rfam family: Bacterial small subunit ribosomal RNA
Source: RNAcentral